CUGUAAUGCAAUGCGGCAUUGCGGUGUCGAACACCUUAGAAAAAUGCCUGUUCUUGUUUUCCAGGCAGAGCUUGAGUGUUAAAUAGCGUGUGAGACCGCACAGCGUCUGGUAAGAGGAAAGCAAAUUAUGGAGCAGUUGUUUGUCAUCAGGUGAAGGCAGUCAGUCCCGUUCACCAAGCAAGGCAGGCGUCCAGGGGAAAAUGAAUGAAAAAAGCUCUUUCUGCAGAUCAGACCUAUCCAGUGACAUGCGUUUCCACUCUGUCUGCUCAGUGAAGCACUCCUGUUUAUGAAGUCUGAAGUGCAUGAUAAUAUGACUGAAAUUCAUUAUCAAGCAAAUACAGUGUGGUAAGCUUUUCAGCAACUCAU
RNAcentral lists this long non-coding RNA (366 nucleotides) under Apteryx rowi (Okarito brown kiwi). RNAcentral describes it as "lncRNA (ENSARWG00000017074.1)". Lineage: Eukaryota; Metazoa; Chordata; Aves; Apterygiformes; Apterygidae. The record is from RNAcentral.